Molecule: small RNA, 146 nt
Filed under: Flavobacterium araucananum
Lineage: Bacteria; Pseudomonadati; Bacteroidota; Flavobacteriia; Flavobacteriales; Flavobacteriaceae
Description: Flavo-1 RNA
Source: RNAcentral
CCCUAGCCCUGAUGGAAAUGAAAAGCCACGAAAAGCAAAACAGCAUUUUUUUUCCGGACUUAAAAAGCGACCAGCGGAAGCUCUUUUAAGUCCUUGAAAAAAAGUUGUUUUGCUAGAGUGCUUGUAGUGAAACAGCAGGAAAUAGC